RNAcentral lists this ribosomal RNA (253 nucleotides) under uncultured bacterium. RNAcentral describes it as "partial 16S ribosomal RNA". It matches the Rfam family "Bacterial small subunit ribosomal RNA", at positions 524 to 776 of the family's 1533-position model. The record is from RNAcentral.
UACGGAGGGGGCAAGCGUUGUUCGGAAUUACUGGGCGUAAAGCGCACGUAGGCGGACUCUUAAGUCAGGGGUGAAAUCCCGGGGCUCAACCUCGGAAGUGCCUCUGAUACUGAGCGACUAGAGUGCAGGAGAGGUGAGCGGAAUUCCUGGUGUAGAGGUGAAAUUCGUAGAUAUCUGGAGGAACACCAGAGGCGAAGGCGGCUCUCUGGUCCGGUUCUGACGCUGAGGUGCGAAAGCGUGGGGAGCAAACAGG